Molecule: ribosomal RNA, 108 nt
Filed under: Gloeocystidiellum porosum
Lineage: Eukaryota; Fungi; Basidiomycota; Agaricomycetes; Russulales; Gloeocystidiellaceae
Description: partial 5.8S ribosomal RNA
Rfam family: 5.8S ribosomal RNA (bases 1-96)
About the family: 5.8S ribosomal RNA (5.8S rRNA) is a component of the large subunit of the eukaryotic ribosome. It is transcribed by RNA polymerase I as part of the 45S precursor that also contains 18S and 28S rRNA.
Source: RNAcentral
UAAGUAAUGUGAAUUGCAGAAUUCAGUGAAUCAUCGAAUCUUUGAACGCACCUUGCGCCCCUUGGUAUUCCGAGGGGCACGCCUGUUUGAGUGUCGUGAAAUUCUCAA